UACGUAGGGCGCGAGCGUUGUCCGGAAUUAUUGGGCGUAAAGAGCUCGUAGGCGGCCGGUUGCGUCUGCUGUGAAAUCCCGGGGCUUAACCCCGGGCGUGCAGUGGAUACGGGCCGGCUGGAGGCAGGCAGGGGAGAAUGGAAUUCCCGGUGUAGCGGUGAAAUGCGCAGAUAUCGGGAGGAACACCGGUGGCGAAGGCGGUUCUCUGGGCCUGUUCUGACGCUGAGGAGCGAAAGCGUGGGGAGCAAACAGG
Molecule: ribosomal RNA, 253 nt
Filed under: uncultured bacterium
Lineage: Bacteria
Description: partial 16S ribosomal RNA
Rfam family: Bacterial small subunit ribosomal RNA
Source: RNAcentral